This 500-nucleotide ribosomal RNA is filed under the name uncultured bacterium. Its description in RNAcentral is "partial 16S ribosomal RNA". It matches the Rfam family "Bacterial small subunit ribosomal RNA", at positions 30 to 523 of the family's 1533-position model. The record is from RNAcentral.
AUUGAACGCUGGCGGCAUGCCUUACACAUGCAAGUCGAACGGCAGCACGGGAGCAAUCCUGGUGGCGAGUGGCGAACGGGUGAGUAAUAUAUCGGAACGUGCCCAGUCGUGUGGGAUAACGCAGCGAAAGCUGUGCUAAUACCGCAUACGAUCUACGGAUGAAAGCGGGGGAUCGCAAGACCUCGCGCGAUUGGAGCGGCCGAUAUCAGAUUAGCUAGUUGGUGGGGUAAAGGCCCACCAAGGCGACGAUCUGUAGCUGGUCUGAGAGGACGACCAGCCACACUGGAACUGAGACACGGUCCAGACUCCUACGGGAGGCAGCAGUGGGGAAUUUUGGACAAUGGGCGAAAGCCUGAUCCAGCAAUGCCGCGUGCAGGACGAAGGCCUUCGGGUUGUAAACUGCUUUUGUACGGAACGAAACGGUCUCUUCUAAUAAAGGGGGCUAAUGACGGUACCGUAAGAAUAAGCACCGGCUAACUACGUGCCAGCAGCCGCCGUAA